UACAGAGGUCUCGAGCGUUGUUCGGAUUCAUUGGGCGUAAAGGGUGCGUAGGUGGCUUGGUAAGUCGGAUGUGAAAUCCCGGGGCUCAACCCCGGAACUGCAUUCGAUACUGCCAGGCUAGAGUACUGGAGAGGAGAUUGGAAUUUACGGUGUAGCAGUGAAAUGCGUAGAUAUCGUAAGGAAGACCAGUGGCGAAGGCGGAUCUCUGGACAGUUACUGACACUGAGGCACGAAGGCCAGGGGAGCAAACGGG
RNAcentral lists this ribosomal RNA (253 nucleotides) under uncultured bacterium. RNAcentral describes it as "partial 16S ribosomal RNA". It matches the Rfam family "Bacterial small subunit ribosomal RNA", at positions 524 to 776 of the family's 1533-position model. The record is from RNAcentral.